CAAGCGUUAAGUGUCCCUGGGAUGGGAUGUUGCCCGGGAACGAAAACUUACUGAGUUGCGAUUUGAUAUUGCAUCCGCUA
RNAcentral lists this non-coding RNA (80 nucleotides) under bovine gut metagenome. RNAcentral describes it as "THF riboswitch". It matches the Rfam family "THF (Tetrahydrofolate) riboswitch aptamer", at positions 16 to 96 of the family's 99-position model. From Rfam's summary of the family: THF riboswitch presents a pseudoknot that joins P1-P2 and the loop of P3 and two THF binding. The record is from RNAcentral.